GCAGCACUUACUGAAGAUGUCAUCUCUCUCUGAAAUCGCAUUUCUGGAAGUUGUUGGGAUUAAAAGCUUGCAGAUCCCUCUGAAGCGACUCCAGUUUUGUUCAGGAAAUCGAGACGUCUCAUGCUUCCAGAGCUCUUCUCCAACCCCAAAGAUUGGCCAAUCCAGAGGUUCUUAACUUGAGUGGCCCAGCGCAGUGCCUCAGGGGACUUUUAAACAUCAGGAUGCGGAGAACAUGUUGGACCAGGGAAAUCAGUCACUGGGGAUGAGACUCAGCCAGCAUCAGUAUUUUGUAAAGCUCCCCAGGUAUGAUGGUUGAUUUUAUUUUAUUUUUUUAAUUUUUAUUUUACAUUGGCAUGUCGGGUUUGUUUUUUUUUUCUUUUUCUUUUUUGGGCAGCUCCUGUGGCAUAUGGAAGUUCCCAGGCUAGGGGGUCAAAUCAGAGCUAUAGCUGCCGGCCUACACCACUCACAGCAAUGCCAGAUCCUUAACCCGCUGAGUGAGGCCAGGGAUCGAACCUGCACCCUCGUGGAUACUAGUCAGAUUUGUUUCCAAAUAGCAUGCAGUUGAUUUACAGCGUUGUAUUAACUUCAGCUGUACAGCAAAGUGGUUCAGUUAUAUAUAUACGUAUAUCCAUUUUUUUAUUUCCCAUGUAGGUUCUUACAGACUAUUGGAUAGACCUCCCUGUGCUACGCAAGAGGUCAUUGUUGAUGAUCUAGUUUAUAUAUUGUAGGUGUAUAGGUUAAUCCCAAACCCCUCAGUUGCCCCUCCCCCUCCCCUUCGGU
RNAcentral lists this long non-coding RNA (780 nucleotides) under Sus scrofa (pig). RNAcentral describes it as "lncRNA (ENSSSCG00070027836.1)". Lineage: Eukaryota; Metazoa; Chordata; Mammalia; Artiodactyla; Suidae. The record is from RNAcentral.